AUAAAUGCUGGCUUGAUUAGCAUUUUGCGGAAAGAGUAAAAAAAAUGUGUUGUAAUAUACUGUUUCAAUAUCUUAGAGAAACCAAUUUAAGUGGAAGGAUAUAGUUUUUUUUAAACAAUGCUUAUACACAACAUUCUGGUCCACACUCACACCAGAUGGUGGCGGUAAUGCACCAAAAAGUUGUUUGCCAACCGCCAAUAAACCUUAGUAGAAGAAGAAGACAUCAAGAAGAUCGAGGCAGACGGACUGCACGCUGUUAAAACUUCACCGAGAUCGGUGUUGGACCGGCGAACACUUAGGCCUAUGUUAUCAGAGGACUUGCUAACAUAAAGAAAACGGUCCAGAGGUUCCACCUGAGAGCCGGGACUGUCGAAUAGUAAGAGACAUCGAAAAGGGGGGAACUGUCUUUAAGACGCAUUUACCUCAAAAACGGCAUUGCAGAAGACUCGAACAACUAGAACCAACUCAAGCACACAACGGUGACACACAUUUGUAAGACCUUUCCCUGUGAUAUAAAAUUUCCCUGUGGUAAUUAUUCAGAUUCUUCUCAUUCUCAUUGUGUAGCACUGUUUUAAGCUUAGUGAAUAUUAUGUACAGUAAGCACUAGAAGUAGAGACUUGUACUACUUGGGGUAGUUUUAAAUUAACUUUAAUUUUGCUUUUGAUGCAAAAAUUAUCAAAAGAAAAGAUGUAGUGUAGUAAAAGAUGUUUUGUGUAGUAAUUCAAUUGUUUUAAUAUGAAUAUUGUUUUAGUAGUGUUCAGGACAGUAAUUGUCUGUACAUCUAAAUCAGUUCUUUAAACUUUUUGUUGUCUAAGACCUUGAUAUUAUACCUUAAGGGAAAAAGAAAGAUAUUUAAUUAUGUAUUAUGUACCCAGACAGCAAGGAGUGUCGGCCCAGAUCCAGUCCACAUC
Molecule: long non-coding RNA, 911 nt
Organism: Onychostoma macrolepis
Lineage: Eukaryota; Metazoa; Chordata; Actinopteri; Cypriniformes; Cyprinidae
Exons: 4
Source: RefSeq, a predicted model, not a curated record